CGUACACUGCGUUUCCGAGCUACUUGCGGGGCCUUUUAGCAAUGGAGACCGACGAAGCAGGGUCGCCGACGUGUGCUUCCGUUUCAGCUUCAGUUCCGACAAACCGCUCUGGCUUCUCAGGUGAGGAUGGCGGAGUGAAUCCGGAGAAGGAUUUUGAUGGCCAUGGUCACGAAUGACAGGAAGGUGUGGGUGCUUCGUCGCUUCAAUCGACAGAGGCGGUGGACAAUCCGUCCUGGGCAAAUGUAUGACAUCUUUAUGCUGGCGUCCCGAUGGCAAGGUUGCUGUUUUAUGACUUGGAGAUGGUACGAUUUUACUGCAUGAUGUUGAAGUCCAAGAGUUCCUCGAAUGCCCGGACUAGUACCUGGAGAUGCUGGUUUAACUGAUGAUGUUCAACAUUCAUUUGUAGAGCUCUCAAAUUCUUCAAAGCAAUUUUGCAUAUCUUUUGCAGUGGAGAUAAAGAUAGGGUUUUGUGCUUUUGUAUAUUUGGUGUCUUUCCAAUCAGAAAUAUUGUAAGCGUCCUAUUAGGUCAAAUCAAAUAUUUAGUUGUAUGGUCUAUCGGAUUCAGUCAAUGAGUCCUUUCUUUGUUCUUGCU
Molecule: long non-coding RNA, 592 nt
Organism: Eucalyptus grandis
Lineage: Eukaryota; Viridiplantae; Streptophyta; Magnoliopsida; Myrtales; Myrtaceae
Exons: 4
Source: RefSeq, a predicted model, not a curated record